This 3797-nucleotide long non-coding RNA is filed under the name Sus scrofa (pig). Its description in RNAcentral is "lncRNA (ENSSSCG00000054181.1)". The record is from RNAcentral. Lineage: Eukaryota; Metazoa; Chordata; Mammalia; Artiodactyla; Suidae.
CAAAUCAUGGAUCAUUGUCAAAAAAAAAGUUGGAAAAUCCCUGUUUUAAUUUUCUCUCCUUGUAUUUGGUUCUGGAGGGAUUAGGCAGCUGCAGCCCUGGAGAUUAGAAACAAGGCCUCUGGAGCCAGUUGCUAUUCAAACUUGGGUGAGUUAUUUUGGCUUUCUGUGGUUUAGCCUCUUACCAUAAAACUGGGCUAACAAUAGUGCUUACCUCAUCAGAUUGUUAUGACAAUGAAAAGGAUUCAAUAAGUUGGUCCAUGCAAAGCCCUUCUGAUAGUACCUAAGAAACAGUGCAUACUUGAUAAAUGCUGAUUAUAGUUAUAAAGUGGUUAUUUCUUCCCCUGGGCCAAAGAUAACAUUGUAACUUUAAGGACAUAGCAAACUCUGCCAAAUUUUACACAGAGAUGCCAGGGUUGUUCAGUUGUAGACAAUACCUUCUGUGGGCAAAUAGGUACUGCACAAAUCUUUGUGGAGCAACUGUUGUGUGUUAUCACUCCACUGUGCAUUAAGGAUACAAAGUGGAAUAAGAUAAUGCCCAGGACUUUGAGGAACAUACAGUCUCUGAGAGAAAUUCCAAUGUACUGGACUUGAUCUCCAUCAGCUCCAUGUGGUACCGGGUAUAUUAUAGGUCUCCAGUGUUGAAUGCAUUUCUGUGAUGGGAAUCAUGAACUGUCUACCUUACUCAAAUGCAGUAAAUAAGGGAAGGAGCAUCACAUGUUCCUUCAUUUUUUUCCAGUACCUUCAAGGUGCAGAGGAAAGAACAGCAACACGGGAGAAUUUCCUGCAGAUGCCAGAAGUCUCCAAAAAUCUACACUUGGGGAAAGAUGAGUUUGCUUCUUGUAGACCUCCUCUCUUGUCUAUUUCAUUGUGUUUAUUGAAAAAUGUUGUUGGGAAAGGAAGGAGAAAGGAAACAGAUGGCGCCAAAUGACGGAGAAGGACUUUACAGAUUUCAUCUCUCUCUGCUGCUCAGAGCCAGCAGGAAAGUCAGAGCUGGGGAUGUGGUGUGGCCUCCUGAAUCAUCCAGGCAGUCUCCGCCCUCCAUUCUGACACUCCCAGCCCUUCAACUAUGUAAACAGGGCCCUGAUGUCAAAACCCCAGGAAGGUCAGCCUGGGUGAGGCUGACCUGCCCUCCUUCCCACUCCUUCUGCCCUUUAGAGCAGGGUGAAUGAAGACUUCCGUGCCAGUUACACAUGCAAUUAACACAUUCUUUUUAGCCAAGAAGGGGGUAGAAAUUAGAAAAAAAAAAGAGAGAGAGAGAUUGAUUUGAAGAACCUAAACCUCCCCACCUGUUUGCUUGACUAUAGAGCCACACAUAGGUGGGAACCAAAUCAGAAUGUGUAUGUGUCUUUUCUAAAAGGGCCAACAGUAAAUAUUAAAACAGCAACAGUAAGUUUACACUUGAGUUGUUGUGCAACUUACAAGUUUACAAUACACAAAGCACAGCCUCUGACAUCAUCUCGAAAGACUUGGCAGUGCCUCACAGAGCUAAAAUGGAAAUGUUGAGAUACUGACGUGAGGACCUGUUUUCUUUCAGUGAAGCUUUUUAUUCUGAAAAGAAAUUCCUCCUCUUCCCUAUCUUGACACCUUCCUCCAUGUUUUCCUUAUAUCUACACGCUUUGUAGAUCUUAGAGAGCUUUUCAUCCUUUUCUGCCAAAGCUACCACCUUUGGUAUCUAUAUUCUUUGACCCAUUUGGGGAUAGAGGUAGAUGCAGUAAGGAGCUGGUGCAUUUUGCAAGCCUCACAUUGCUCUGAAUAUAUUUCCGUCACGGUCAACUUGAGGGCUGUGUCACCUGGGCAGUCAUGCAGGGCCUGAUGCUUAGAAGGUCCCAAUGCUGCAUUUCUGUGCUCUGCUGCCACCAUUUUGAAAUUCGUCAUAUGUUGACACUGGGUCCCAUGACUUAUGUAGCUGCCUCUAACUGAGCCAAUUAGCUUUCUGAGAAAACACACCCAGAUGGUUGGCCUGAGAAUAUGGCUUGAUUACUCCCAGUUUCCACAUAUGAGUGGCAUGUCUGCCACAGGUGAACAGGGAAAUAACAUUGGCGUGGCACCUUACAGUUUCCAAUAGAUUUUCACAUGGCAUUAUCUCCUUUAAUCCUCACAAGCACGUGUUAGGAGGCGAGCCUAUUUAAGGCCAACAGAAAUCCACCUAUGAGGGAUGAAAUUGAUUUGACAGGCAAAUAGCAAACAGCUCUUUAAGAGUGAAAAUCCACAGAAAAACAGGACAGAGAAAUUAUCCAGAUGUUAUACAGCUGCGCUGCAAAGUAAGUGACAAAGGCAGCAAAGGCCUCAGCAUGGAGUUUGGCCAAAGGGAUCAUGGGGAAUAAAAAUUCCAAUCCCAGGCCAAGACGGGGGAGAGAGAGAGGCAUUGUUCUGGAAUAGUAGUGGAGCAUCCAUCACAAAGAUCCCUCUCUAUUUUUUAGAGCCCAGGGACAAAGAAUCCCAAUGUUCGGCUGGAAAUGCCUUUGUUAUGGAGUCUACUUUUGCCCAGUCCCUUCUUGAUUAGCAAUUUGAUUAAGUGUCUCUGUUCCUUUGUUGCAGGAACAGGUCAAUGCUGAAAAUACUGCCAAAGCCACCUUUAUAAGGCUGCCAGCCUGAGACUGGGACUCCAGAAUCUAGGCCAAAUACCACCUUUGGAAAAUCUCACAGCACCCAGACUGUGAUUUCUCCCUGCUAGAUAUUGAACUUUCUGAACCAUUGCCUCUGCCUGUCCUGUCUGUGCAGCUCCCUUUCAAUCUGAACUCUAAAGUCCAGACCUCUGCUGCUUGGCUGAGUGGAGAAGCAGGACACCUACAUCAGGGUCCUCCUCUCAAUUGUUUGGGGCCAAAGGAGGCAAAGGAAGCCUUCCUAAGCUUUCACCCCCAUAGUUCAUGCAUUCCGGAUCUCUCAACUCUGUUCUCAGGCCACUUUUCAAUCCUGUAUCCUGAGGUUUUUCUAUCUGGAAGCAAAGUGAAAAUGACCUAGGGAGCAGGUUGCUAUGGUCUAUCCUUUUCCAGUGUUCUCAGCACCCUGCCAAGAUCACCUGUGUCUUCAGAGCGAAAUCUUAACAUCUGUGUUUUUCAGGACUUAGGGAGAAAGGAGGGUUUUAUUGUAGAAUUAUGUUGUCUCUUGGACAAUCAAGCUAUAAAUAGGAUUGCUAGUAAGAAAUUAUUCUACUGGGAUGGAGCUAUAGUUGCUUUUUGGAGAGUGGAAAGUUGUGAGGAGAUAAAUAGGUUUCCUUAGAGGUCAAGCACUUGGUCAGUGUGUUUCUGGAAAAUAGGGCCCCUUGACCAAAACUUAGCCCUUCAGUGAAGCAUGAGUUUUAUUUUCUCUUGGUUUUGGACGAAAUCACUGUUCAGGUUUCUGAAAAAACAAUGUUCUGUUUUUCUUUGUCUGCAGAGAAAUCGAGCAAGAAAAGCCAGUUAAUGAUCUGGUUACUUAAAACCAUUCAUUGGAGCAAGCCAGUUGUUUUGCAGAGAAGCCCUGUUAACAAGCCUGAGUGGGUGUGUCUUUGCUUCCAGAUUAAGUGUAAAAAGCAAGCGAAAUCUAUUUAUCUCUGCAUCAUAUAAUUUUGCUUCACAAAUCCUUUCAAAAUACAGGUUUUGGGAAUUGAGGGUUAAUAGAUGCAAACUAUUGCCUUUGGAAUGGAUAAGCAAGGAGAACCUGCUGUAUAGCAUUGGGAAUUAUAUCUAGUUACUUAUGAUAGAGCAUGAUAAUGUGAGAAAAAAGAAUGUAUAACAUGUAUGUGUGACUGGGUCACUUUGCUGUACAGUAGAAAAUUGACAGCAGUGUAAGCCAGCUAUGAUGGAAAAAAUAAAAAU